GUGGGCGUAGCUCAGUCGGUUAGAGCGCCAGGUUGUGGCCCUGGAGGUCGCGGGUUCGAAUCCCGUCGCUCACC
RNAcentral lists this transfer RNA (74 nucleotides) under Gemmatimonadota bacterium. Its description in RNAcentral is "Gemmatimonadetes bacterium tRNA-His". It matches the Rfam family "tRNA". From Rfam's summary of the family: Transfer RNA (tRNA) molecules are approximately 80 nucleotides in length. Their secondary structure includes four short double-helical elements and three loops (D, anti-codon, and T loops). Further hydrogen bonds mediate the characteristic L-shaped molecular structure. tRNAs have two regions of fundamental functional importance: the anti-codon, which is responsible for specific mRNA codon recognition, and the 3' end, to which the tRNAs corresponding amino acid is attached (by aminoacyl-tRNA synthetases). tRNAs cope with the degeneracy of the genetic code in two manners: having more than one tRNA (with a specific anti-codon) for a particular amino acid; and 'wobble' base-pairing, i.e. permitting non-standard base-pairing at the 3rd anti-codon position. The record is from RNAcentral. RNAcentral also lists the same sequence under 7 other names. Lineage: Bacteria; Pseudomonadati; Gemmatimonadota.